This 76-nucleotide transfer RNA is filed under the name Lentisphaerota bacterium. Its description in RNAcentral is "Lentisphaerae bacterium tRNA-Glu". It matches the Rfam family "tRNA". From Rfam's summary of the family: Transfer RNA (tRNA) molecules are approximately 80 nucleotides in length. Their secondary structure includes four short double-helical elements and three loops (D, anti-codon, and T loops). Further hydrogen bonds mediate the characteristic L-shaped molecular structure. tRNAs have two regions of fundamental functional importance: the anti-codon, which is responsible for specific mRNA codon recognition, and the 3' end, to which the tRNAs corresponding amino acid is attached (by aminoacyl-tRNA synthetases). tRNAs cope with the degeneracy of the genetic code in two manners: having more than one tRNA (with a specific anti-codon) for a particular amino acid; and 'wobble' base-pairing, i.e. permitting non-standard base-pairing at the 3rd anti-codon position. The record is from RNAcentral. Lineage: Bacteria; Pseudomonadati; Lentisphaerota.
GUCCCCAUCGUCUAGAGGCCUAGGACGCCGGGUUCUCAUCCCGGUAACACGGGUUCGACUCCCGUUGGGGAUGCCA